CUUGACAUCCAGCGAACUUGGCAGAGAUGCCUUGGUGCCUUCGGGAACGCUGAGACAGGUGCUGCAUGGCUGUCGUCAGCUCGUGUUGUGAAAUGUUGGGUUAAGUCCGCAACGAGCGCAACCCUUAUCCUUUGUUGCCAGCGAUUCGGUCGGGAACUCAAAGGAGACUGCCGGUGAUAAACCGGAGGAAGGUGGGGAUGACGUCAAGUCAUCAUGGCCCUUACGAGUAGGGCUACACACGUGCUACAAUGGCGCAUACAAAGAGAAGCGACCUCGCGAGAGCAAGCGGACCUCAUAAAGUGCGUCGUAGUCCGGGUCGGAGUCUGCAACUCGACUCCGUGAAGUCGGAAUCGCUAGUAAUCGUGGAUCAGAAUGCCACGGUGAAUACGUUCCCGGGCCUUGUACACACCGCCCGUCACACCAUGGGAGUGGGUUGCAAAAGAAGUAGGUAGCUUAACCUUCGGGAGGGCGCUUACCACUUUGUGAUUCAUGACUGGGGUGAAGUCGUAACAAGGUAGGCGUAGCGAG
Molecule: ribosomal RNA, 528 nt
Filed under: uncultured bacterium
Lineage: Bacteria
Description: bacterial SSU rRNA
Rfam family: Bacterial small subunit ribosomal RNA
Source: RNAcentral